CGACUUAUAUUCUGUAGCAAGGUUAACCGUAUAGGGGAGCCGCAGGGAAACCGAGUCUUAACUGGGCGUUAAGUUGCAGGUAUAGACCCGAAACCCGGUGAUCUAGCCAUGGGCAGGUUGAAGGUUGGGUAACACUAACUGGAGGACCGAACCGACUAAUGUUGAAAAAUUAGCGGAUGACUUGUGGCUGGGGGUGAAAGGCCAAUCAAACCGGGAGAUAGCUGGUUCUCCCCGAAAGCUAUUUAGGUAGCGCCUCGUGAAUUCAUCUUCGGGGGUAGAGCACUGUUUCGGCUAGGGGGUCAUCCCGACUUACCAACCGAUGCAAACUACGAAUACCGAAGAAUGUUAUCACGGGAGACACACGGCGG
This 368-nucleotide ribosomal RNA is filed under the name Klebsiella pneumoniae. Its description in RNAcentral is "bacterial LSU rRNA". It matches the Rfam family "Bacterial large subunit ribosomal RNA", at positions 624 to 994 of the family's 2925-position model. Lineage: Bacteria; Pseudomonadati; Pseudomonadota; Gammaproteobacteria; Enterobacterales; Enterobacteriaceae. The record is from RNAcentral.